UGGGAUAUGAGGGAAAAUAGCUCCAGUUCAGGAAAAAAAAUAAGUGCUUAAACAUGUUGGAUUCUUUUUGUUCUGAGAUCACAGAGUUGCUCCUUCAAACUGACUGAUCUGCGGGUGAAAUGGAGCAGAAGGUACAGCAUUAGCAGACAGAGCUCUCUGAACACCCAGCCUGGCAGCAUCAGUGUUGCUGUUUGGGUCUGACAAAGCGGCAGCAGAUUUUACGUGCUACAAGACCAACGUAUUGAUUCCUAUGAGCAUUGGUAAGACUCCUCCUGUAUGGCUGUUGAGGAUGAGAUUCUUGUUAUCCUCCUCCUUUGGUUCCCAUGGAUGAAUAUGAAGGACAGACCAAGAAAGGACCCUUGGAGUAUGAGUACAAGAGUGUUUUAUUGUUCAUUGUAUUGUGGUGCUGAGUUCUCAG
Tyto alba (common barn owl) is the source of this 418-nucleotide long non-coding RNA. RefSeq lists it as uncharacterized. The record is from RefSeq and is a predicted model, not a curated record. The transcript has 3 exons. Lineage: Eukaryota; Metazoa; Chordata; Aves; Strigiformes; Tytonidae.